AGCUCCAAUAGCGUAUAUUAAAGUUGUUGCAGUUAAAAAGCUCGUAGUUGGAUUUCUAGCGGAUGCAACCGGUCUGCUCCGCGAGGAGUGGGACUAGCGUUGUCGUCUGUUAUCCUUGAGAAGAGCUGCCCUGGCAUUCGGUUGUCGGGGUAGGGAUUCUCAUCGUUUACUGUAGAAAAAUUAGAGUGUUCAAAGCAAGCUUAGGCUCUGAAUAUAUUAGCAUGGAAUAAUAAGAUAAG
This 239-nucleotide ribosomal RNA is filed under the name uncultured eukaryote. RNAcentral's name for it is "partial small subunit ribosomal RNA". It matches the Rfam family "Eukaryotic small subunit ribosomal RNA", at positions 587 to 826 of the family's 1831-position model. The record is from RNAcentral.